Molecule: ribosomal RNA, 348 nt
Filed under: uncultured soil bacterium
Lineage: Bacteria
Description: bacterial SSU rRNA
Rfam family: Bacterial small subunit ribosomal RNA
Source: RNAcentral
AGAUUGAACGCUGGCGGCGGGCCUAACACAUGCAAGUCGAGCGGCAGCACGGGUACUUGUACCUGGUGGCGAGCGGCGGACGGGUGAGUAAUGCCUAGGAAUCUGCCUGGUAGUGGGGGAUAACGCUCGGAAACGGACGCUAAUACCGCAUAAGACCUUCGGGUGAAAGCCGGGGACCUUCGGGCCUGGCGCGGAUAGAUGAGCCGAUGUCGGAUUAGCUUGUUGGCGGGGUAAAGCCCACAAGGCGACGAUCCGUAGCUGGUCUGAGAGGAUGAUCAGCCACACUGGAACUGAGACACGGUCCAGACUCCUACGGGAGCAGCAGUGGGAAUAUUGGACAAGUGGGCG